AUGAUCAGCCGCAGCCUGCAGAGCGUGAGCCCGGACGUGAGCGUGUACUUCUCGGGCGGGUCCUCCCGGCGGCGGAGCGGGGCAGGGGAGAGCGACGAUGAGGAGGCGCUGCGGUGGGCGGCGCUGGAGCGGCUGCCGUCGUUCGAGCGGCUGCGCACGGGCAUCCUGCGGUCGGAGGCCCAGGCCGGGCGGCGGCGGUUCGCGCACGAGGAGGUGGACGUGCGCAUGCUGGAGGGCCCGCAGCGGCAGGCCUUCGUGGAGAGCGUCUUCCGGGUCGCCGAGGAGGACAACGAGCGCUUCCUCAAGAAGCUCCGCGCGCGCAUUGAUCGCGCGGGCAUCGUGAUCCCGACGGCGGAGGUGAGGUUCAGGAACCUGAAUGUGGAGGCGGAGUGCCACGUGGGGAGCCGCGCGCUGCCGACGCUGGCGAACGCGACGCUGGACACGGUGGACGCCAUGCUGGGGCUCGCCGGGGUCAGCCUCGCCAAGACCAAGACCCUCCACAUUCUCAAGGACGUCUCAGGCGUCGUAAGACCCUCCAGGAUGACGCUCCUGCUGGGCCCACCGUCUUCAGGCAAGACGACACUUCUGCUGGCGCUGGCCGGCAAGUUGGACCCCACUCUGAAGGUGCGCGGGGAGGUGACGUACAACGGCUACGGCCUGGACGAGUUCGUGCCGGAAGACGGCGGCGUACAUCAGCCAGAACGACGUCCACGCCGGCGAGAUGACCGUCAAGGAGACCCUCCACUUCUCCGCCAGGUGCCAGGGGGUGGGCCACAGAUACGGUGA
RNAcentral lists this ribosomal RNA (786 nucleotides) under Triticum aestivum (bread wheat). RNAcentral's name for it is "partial small subunit ribosomal RNA". The record is from RNAcentral. Lineage: Eukaryota; Viridiplantae; Streptophyta; Magnoliopsida; Poales; Poaceae.